Long non-coding RNA from Scomber japonicus (chub mackerel), 321 nucleotides. RefSeq lists it as uncharacterized. NCBI's taxonomy places the organism in Eukaryota, Metazoa, Chordata, Actinopteri, Scombriformes, Scombridae. The record is from RefSeq and is a predicted model, not a curated record. The transcript has 3 exons.
CUCUGCUCUGCUGUGAUGCUGAUGUUUUCCAUACGUGAAGAUUUGCUGAAGCUACAAAGUCUCUGUGACUGGAUGUGAAUUCAGCAGUUGAACAUCUUCCAUGUAGUAGUGAGUGAGUGCAUCAGUGCUAUGGAUCAGAGUGAGGACAGAGAGAAGGGAGUCCUCUUUAAAAGCUCUCUGUGUGGGGAACAUGACAGCCAGACCAAAGCUCAGAGGAUGCAGCAGCAGAGAGCAGACUCUCCUGAACCCAGCUGUGUGUCCAUGAAGAGUGAUGACUCUAUGGAUCAUCCUAUUAACAUUAAAGAUGGACAACCUGCUGAU